AGGAAGGCGCUCCGCCGUGGGCGGGCAGCCAUUUUAGACCAGGGUGUGGGAAUCCUGUGUCAAGGACGGCAGAGCGCCCUGCGGACCCCCCGGGCUCCGUGAGCCGGGGCUGCUUUCAUAAGAGAGGAACAGAGCUGUCUCUGCUUAAAGGCAGGGUUACGUUGGCCUCUCUUACAGCAGGUGAACCUGCAUCCCAGUCAAGACAUUUUGAAUGCCUGACAAGAUGCUAAUAAGGAAGGAUCCUGCUACCACCUGCCCAGAACCGUGAAGAGACAAGCUCUUCCUCACAACAGUGUGCCCGAUGCGUGUUUGGUGCGUGGACAGAAGGCAAGGAGAAGACAGAAGGCAGGACAGUCAGCAGAGGAGGCCUCCUGGAAGCGUGAUCUGGAGCAGCGUGAAGGGGCUGGCACAUAGUAGGUCCCCCAUAAAUGUUCAUCGAAUGAGACGGACACAAUGAUGCAAGUGUACCUAAAGCCACUGAGCUGUGCACUUAGAAACGGCUUAGCAAGAGAGAGACACAGCGAGAGAGGGAACACAAGCAGGGGGAGCAGCAGAGGGAGAAGCAGGCUUCCCGCGGAGCAGGGAGCCCGAUGUGGGGCUCGAUCCCAGGACCCCGGGAUCACGACCUGAGCCGAAGGCAGACGCUUAACGACUGAGCCCCCCUGGCGCCCCGGAUUCCCACUUUAGGCGACGUACCUUGCUACUGUCUCCUCACUUGGCUUCCAGGCUCCACUGUGUCCUGGCCCCUGUUCUUCCCCUUUGCUGGGCCCUCUGUCCACCCCUUGAACACAAACAAUCCCCACCCCUCUGCCCUUCGCUCCCUUCUUACUUUACAGACACUUCCACGAACCUUCCAUCCACUGCUCUGAUUUUCCCACCACUCAUAAGCCAGCCAUUUCUAAAUGUAGAUUCUAGACUUGGCUUGUCCACGCGAAAUUCCCGUUUCCCCCCAUCUACCCAUCCCCCGUCCCCGGUGUUAGCCGGUCCACCACCAACCCGGUCUGUCAGGUGGGAGGUCCGUGACCCUCUCUGCUCCUGUGCUCAGCCCUGCCGCGGGCUCAGCCCCUGAGCCCUCUCCGCAGAGCCCCCCACCCAUCCCGGCCGUGUUGCAGCAGGGAGGAGGCACAGCUGUGGGAACUGAAGCCUGGAGCCGCACUCUCUGAGUUUGUGUCCUGGCCCCACUGGUUUUUAGCUGUGUGACAUUCCUGAGCCUCAGUUCCCUCGUCCGUAUUAUGAAGCUCAAACAAGAUGAGGCUAAAUAUGGCUCCAGCAUACAAUAAACACUCAGCGCCUGUCACUGCAGGAGUGGUGCCUAACACGGCCGGUUUGCGAGAAAUACAUCUCCUCAGGCGCUGUACCCAGCCCCUGUUGCCCUGGAUGGUGAACACGGUGUGAGUGAGCUGGGAUUGCCCCCUCCUUUCUCCCACAGUGGAGGCCAAGUUGGAGGGAGUAUGAGAUGCUAAGGCUUGAGAGGGAAGGCCCAUCGGGUCCUUAGCCCCCUAUUUACAGUCCACCUGGCCCUCUCAGCUCCGGGGGCCCUCAAUCCACGUAGAAGGGGGGUAGCUCACCCAGGUCCUUCCUUUCUGGCUGGGUUGGGGGUUUCUGUACAUAAGGGCCUCAUUACACAACUGUUCCCUGUCAGGGUCCUGGGCUGCCCAGGUCCUUCCCAGAAAGCAGGGAGUGGGACCUCGGUCACCAGGAGUCUA
Long non-coding RNA from Zalophus californianus (California sea lion), 1706 nucleotides. RefSeq lists it as uncharacterized. The record is from RefSeq and is a predicted model, not a curated record. The transcript is spliced from 4 exons. Lineage: Eukaryota; Metazoa; Chordata; Mammalia; Carnivora; Otariidae.